CCUACGGGAGGCAGCAGUGGGGAAUAUUGGACAAUGGGCGAAAGCCUGAUCCAGCAAUGCCGCGUGAGUGAUGAAGGCCUUAGGGUUGUAAAGCUCUUUUACCCGGGAUGAUAAUGACAGUACCGGGAGAAUAAGCUCCGGCUAACUCCGUGCCAGCAGCCGCGGUAAUACGGAGGGAGCUAGCGUUAUUCGGAAUUACUGGGCGUAAAGCGCACGUAGGCGACUUUGUAAGUAAGAGGUGAAAGCCUGGUGCUCAACACCAGAACUGCCUUUUAGACUGCAUCGCUUGAAUCCAGGAGAGGUGAGUGGAAUUCCGAGUGUAGAGGUGAAAUUCGUAGAUAUUCGGAAGAACACCAGUGGCGAAGGCGGCUCACUGGACUGGUAUUGACGCUGAGGUGCGAAAGCGUGGGGAGCAAACAGGAUUAGGAUACCCUGGUAGUCCACGCCGUAAACGAUGAUAACUAGCUGUCGGGGCUCUUAGAGCUUCGGUGGCGCAGCUAACGCAUUAAGUUAUCCGCCNGGGGAAGUCGGCCGCAGGUUAAACCUCAAAUGAAUUGACG
This 560-nucleotide ribosomal RNA is filed under the name uncultured bacterium. RNAcentral's name for it is "bacterial SSU rRNA". It matches the Rfam family "Bacterial small subunit ribosomal RNA", at positions 338 to 915 of the family's 1533-position model. The record is from RNAcentral.